AGGCAGCAGUGGGGAAUAUUGCGCAAUGGGGGGAACCCUGACGCAGCAACGCCGCGUGAGUGAAGAAGGUCUUCGGAUCGUAAAACUCUGUCAUAGGGGAAGAAGAGAUGACGGUACCCUAUGAGGAAGCCCCGGCUAACUAC
RNAcentral lists this ribosomal RNA (143 nucleotides) under uncultured bacterium. RNAcentral's name for it is "partial 16S ribosomal RNA". It matches the Rfam family "Bacterial small subunit ribosomal RNA", at positions 346 to 504 of the family's 1533-position model. The record is from RNAcentral.